This 66-nucleotide transfer RNA is filed under the name Actinomycetota bacterium. RNAcentral describes it as "tRNA-Ala". It matches the Rfam family "tRNA". Rfam says of the family: Transfer RNA (tRNA) molecules are approximately 80 nucleotides in length. The record is from RNAcentral. Lineage: Bacteria; Bacillati; Actinomycetota.
GUAUUGCUGGGGGAUCGAGCCGCCGUUGCACGGCGGAGGUCAGGGGUUCGAAUCCCCUCGGCUCCA